AAAAGCCCUGCUGAGCAGCAAUCCCAUUGCCUUCAGUGGCACCUAAUCCACUUGAGCUCUUCCUGGCUCUCUCACGGGUCACUGGCUUUGAGGACGCAGGCUGCUGGGGUGGCAGUGCCUGCUAACAGGCCAGAGACUGCGCAGGACCCAGGGAAUGAGAGUGGUGGCAGGAAAGGGAAGGGGCCUUGUUGACUCACUCGCUGGGCAGCAAGUGCUUAGUGACAAGCAGUAAACAAAGACAGCGGCAACAGUGCUGGUGGCAGGGAGCUCCGCGGACAGACUUGCAAGAGACCCCUGCUCCUUGUUGGAAAGUUGUCCCAUGAUGAAGGCCUAGACCUGGUCACGGAGACUUUUGGAUGCAGCCUUUAACGAAGGACGCAGGCAGAAAAAAAAAAAAAGACUGGGAGAUUUAAAACAGAAGAGGAGAAGGCGAUGUGACCACAGAGGCAGAGAUUGGAGUGAUGUGGCCAUAGCUGAGGAAUGCGGGCAGAUGGCAGAAGCUGGAGGAGGCCUGGGAAGGAUUCUCCGUCAGAGCCUGUGGAGGGACCAUAGUCCUGCGGACACCCUGACUUCAACCCAGUCAAACUGAUUUUGGAUUUCUUGUUCCUGGAACUGUGAGAUAAUAAAUUUAUCUUGUGUUAGUCUGUGAGGUUUGUGGUAAUUUGUUAUAGAAGGCACAGGAAACCAUACAGGGCCUCAAAUAGAAUCCUGAGGGACAACAUUUCAGGGACCAUGAGAGGGAGAAAGAAUGCCGAGGAGGUGAGGACAAACCAGGAGUUUGGAGAAACAAGGAGUGUUCCAAGGACAGACAGUG
Molecule: long non-coding RNA, 814 nt
Filed under: Homo sapiens (human)
Lineage: Eukaryota; Metazoa; Chordata; Mammalia; Primates; Hominidae
Description: HSALNT0357813
Source: RNAcentral